AGUAUCCAUUGUUGCUACCAUGUGGAACGUACUGUUGGGACGUGAAUAGUCAAAAUAAUAAUGGUUGGAAAUUGACAUGUCGUGAUUAUUAUGCGUAUAUGUUACAGAUCCGUGAACAUGAUGAUUCACUUUUACUACGAGGGGGCCGCCUGUUGCAACAAUAUGUCGUUGAUAAUUAUAUCAAAAUUGAAACACAGAAAUUAA
This 204-nucleotide long non-coding RNA is filed under the name Rosa chinensis. RNAcentral's name for it is "sRNA RchiOBHm_Chr6g0244311". The record is from RNAcentral. Lineage: Eukaryota; Viridiplantae; Streptophyta; Magnoliopsida; Rosales; Rosaceae.